Molecule: long non-coding RNA, 9193 nt
Organism: Motacilla alba alba
Lineage: Eukaryota; Metazoa; Chordata; Aves; Passeriformes; Motacillidae
Exons: 3
Source: RefSeq, a predicted model, not a curated record
UUCAUCCAGCCCUGCAGGAGCACUGGUUAAUGGAGCUUUACACAGGAGACCCAUAUGUUUACAUCGUGCUUUUGUUUAUGUUUCAUUUCUGUGGAAUAGAGGGAAUGAAGCAAGACCUCUUGCACUGGGAAAAUAUUAUCUGAGAGCAAAGCAAAAGGAAAGUGUUGAGGAUGAAUUUCAGGGACUACAGCACAGAUGAUGUUUUUUGACAUAGCAGCAGCAAGUAAAUUACUCUCCUAGUGGUACUUGGCAAGAGGGCUCUCCACACAGAAGUGUAGCAGACUCACAGCUGCACUGGUGUUGUCAGAUACAUUUCAUCCCUUCUGGAAUGGGUCCUUGGCAGUGUGUGCAGGGUUGGGCGCACACACUUGGUGGUGCUGACUAAUUGCUCCUGAAGAGAGCAGUCAGCCAAGACCACUGCCCUCCCAGCACUGUAGUCACUAAACCCCCAUCUCCACUCCAUGUUUUGGCAACAUAAACAUCCUCUGGGAUGCCCCAGGCUCUGGGCUACCACAUGGGAGCAAGCCCCUUUACUCCCCACUGCACAGGAAAGCUGGUGCCCAGCUGAGGAGCCCCUGGGACAUGUUAGCCUGGGAAACUGCUGUCAUCACUUUUGUCACAGGCUUUUGUCUUUUGCUGGCUGUGAAGUAAUCCUAGGGUGAUGAUGGUAGAAGAAGGGAUACUGGCUUGAAUGCAAAACGCUGUUAAGACUGCUUUAUUCUCAGGAGGAUUGGCUGAACACCUCACUAAAUCAACGCAGGGAGUGGGCAUUUAAAUGGCUGACAAGAAGAUCCAGAAAGAAAUUCUUUGAAAAGGAUUGUAAAUAAGGUCAUUGUAGGUCAGCAGCCAUCUCUAGUUCCAGUAGAGAACUAUAUCUGACAUAGCUUCUUGCAGGAGUAUUACUGCUUUCCUUAAAGGCUGGACUAAGAUAAUGGGAGGUGGUCUAGCAACUUAGUUUCCAUGUUGCCUUGUAUUAUUUGGACAACCCUAAACAUUGUUUAUCCUGUGAUCUUGCCCCUCUGGGUCUCCCAACCACAGCACAGUGGUCAUCCAGACAAGCAUUUUGCAGGGAUACAAGGGUCCAAGUGCACCAGCUCUAUGCAGUUCCAUGUAUUAACUGCGUUACACUGAGCCAAUGUACCUAAACACAAGGAGAAGGAACUGUGGUUUCCCAUUCCAGCACAUGUUGUACCCUCUUUAUGGCAUUGUCUGCUCUGUGCCACUGUGUCUUUGUGGUGUAUCUGCUCUAUACAGACUUUAGCUGAGUUAGCUGCAGAGCCAAAAGCCAGGGAUGUGCUGGAAGUAACUGAUCAACCUUGGUCAAAACUGCUGUUGAAAUCACAGUCAGUUCCUGAAACAGUAGAUAAGACAUCCUCCAGUCACUGGCAUCACUGCAUCUGUCUUUUGAGGGCAGCUGUCUGCUCUGUCUCCUGUUCUCAGCACCUCCUUCUCCUCCUACCACCUUAGUCCCCAGCCCCUCCCUUAUCUAAACCCCUGGGAAAGUCCACUCAGGAUCUCCAGUGAAGGAGCAUGUAGGUGCUAACCAACCAGCCUGCUCCUGGUGCCUCCUGAGCACCUCUGCAGAGCUCUACACAGUGUGGGCUUGUCCCCUGCACGCCCCACCGUAUGCCCACAAGUGACUGGAGAGCUGCUGAGGAAGUGAUGAGGGCUGGCCGCAAAUACAGAUUGAGUCCUGGCUGUGAACUUGACAAUCAGGAACUGCAAAAUGCUUCUGUGGCCUAAAGCAGCAUUUUCAGUGCUUUUUAUUCUCUGGGGUUUCUUUUGCUUUGUUCACACCAGAGAUCACUGAUAACAGAUGAGAAAAGGGAAGAGGAGGAUUUCUCAUUUGCAAACACGACACUCCGCUUCCAGCAGAGGAGGUUUUGCAAAUACUUUGUAAGCAGGAGAGCAAAAACUCACCAUGGAAAAUGCACCAGGCUCUACCCCCACAGUACCUGCAUGAUGAUGUCCAGCUGGCUGACAGGAACAGGCUUUCUUGAGCUUAUUUUCUGCUUACUGUCACCAGGAGGUUUUGAACAUGCACAUGUCACACCCCAGGAAGAUCUGUAGCUGCAUGACACAGAACAGAAACUGUUUCUGUGAAAGGAAGAAAACAACUUUACAGACUGGGAAGGAAACAAGCAAUCUGGGCCAAGAGUCCAAACUCUUUCCCCUGAAUGCUUUCCCAGUCUCUAACCUCUCAUUAUUUAAUUAUCACAAGAGAAAUCUAAAGAGUCUAUUCACUGACUGCUGAAUAAAUGCUAACCUGCAACAUUGGUCAUACUUAGACACUUCACAUUUUUACUGGUGCAUAUGGGACCUGAGCACUGUGGCAACAAGUUCUGAGUCAACUGUGAAGAGCCAGAAGAGCUGAGACCCUGCUUAUUUCAACAGACCAAUCAAGACAGACCAGCCCAAAAGUUUCUUGAUACUGGAUUUUAUAUUUCUGCUUUUUAGAGGUUCAAUGGAUGUAAUGCCCAGCAACUUCACCUGUGGUUUCUGCUAUGCAUGGCUCCAACCAGAGGGUUUUCUAAAGGUCCUUCUUGGUCCCAUUAGGCAGCUGUGAAGAGGAUGGACAUGGAUGAUCAAGUAAGAGAGCAAAGGAGGCAACACAGCAAGCUGAAGGCUGGUAACUUCUCCCAUCAGUGAUAAGGUACACAGCAGGACAAAGCAUCAAUGGCAAAGCCUCAACUUUUAAUUCAGGAACUCAUUAAAUGAUUACACCCAAGAAGUUGUUCCAGGCUAAAUUCUUUUGUCAAGGUGAGGAGAUGUCAGCGAGCUAAUCUCCCCAUUGCCUCCAGAUCCCUGCCCACAAGCCUGCCUGCAGCAAUUGAUGGGGAUCAUUCCACUCUUGAGGAAUACAAGAACACAUAGAGAUAUUCGCUGUGGAGAUCUGACUUCUCAUGGGCUCUACUGACACAACCUGCAGAGCAUGCUUACUGUUUGCAUGUAACCACACAAUUCAAUAUGCUGGUAUUGCCCUCUGAAAACAAGGAAGAAAUAACUGGUGUGAUCAGAGCUGACAAACUUUUCAUCUGUUCUCAUUUCACAUCAUACUCAUCAGAAUAACAUCUUCCUUCUUGUAUAUCAUUUAGUUCCAGGGCAGUAAUGCCCAGUUCUCUGCCACUUUGCUAUCCCUUGUUUUGGAGAUCCACCACCAGCCAUUAAUGAUCUGCUCUGCUGGCCACUGUCAUCACAGUGUGCCAACAUCCUGCACAUUCAAUAAAUCCUAAUGCAUCUCAGGCAUGAUGAUGCAAAGAAAAUGUAAGUGCUCAAAGAGAGGUCUCAAGAGACAGCACACUAAAAGUCUUGUAUCAGUGCUUCAGUCUCAGAUGGAGCCAUCAAGGUCUUUCAUACUGGCUAUCUGUUCUGAAAAGACAGCAUCUCCUCUUGAUAAUGGUCCUGUUCUUGCCUUUCCAUCCUCCAAAAUGUAUAUACUGCCCUUUGCAUUUACACUCUGGUUUUUUCUUAGUCCCAGCAUGCAUUGCUCUCUGUAACACUAUAUCUUUUGAUAAAAUUACUUUUCUGUCCACCAUACCACUAACAGUUGCACUUCCCAGAAACAUUCUCCUGAUAAAUAAUGCAGCUGGUUGUAUGAUGCAUACCUGUGCUAGAGUCUAGCACUGUAGCUUUGGGCCUCAAUCAGUAGUUCUUCCUUGUCUAUGACAACAGCUACCAUAAAAUAAAAAGGGCCUUUUUUUUUAUAGUAGGCCACCAGCCUAACAGGAGCUGUAAAAGGAAAGGAUUCUGCUUGGCAGACAAAAGUAGGACAUCAGGACCCGGUCUCAUUCUCAGUUCUGGCUCAAUGUCAUGAUUAUUUCAUCUUGCUGGGAAAUACUCUGGUUGGAGACAUGCUACAUCUCAAUUCAGCUGCUCCCAGCUAAGAGGAGAAACUCAUACAAGUGAGUUUCAGAUCCCAAUUCUGAUACAUAUUAAAUACAAUUUUUAAUGCAACUGUCAGGACAAAAGGCUUUACUGGCCAAUGACCACUUCUGAAGAAAUAAAUCAAGGAUUUAGGGACAACAUAGGGACCUACAUCCAAAAUUAAAAUGGAAAAGAAAACCAAAACAAACAAACCAAAAACCAAACCACUGGCUCUGAGUAUUUGGGAAUUUUUUCCUUAUACUAACUCGUUUAAAUUCCUCCACUCCUAGAGGUGCAAUGCUGAGCAUGCCUAGAAUAGCCUUGCUGCUAACCUGCUUGAACAGGUUACCAUCUAAGCCUAAUCAGUUAUCAAAGAUUGGAAUACAAAUUCUCUGUAUUAUUAGUUAGCAGUCAGCCAGACAAAUCUUCCAGUUCAAUCUUCCAGGCUUAAUACAGCUAGUUACAGAUUUUCUGAGAAUGGUCAGCAUUUCAUUGCAGGAACCAGAUGCAACCACAGCCCUUUCUGUAACAUAAAUCCUGAAUUGCCUUGUCAUUUGUGCUCCAAAAAAACUCUCACUGCUCUAGCCAGAGUCUGGGCUCCAGCACUCCACUCAGCACUUUUAGCAUUCUCACAGCCCUGUUUGCCCAGAUGGAGACAGGUCUACUGUGAGCUCAUCACAUGCUGAGAAACUUUGUUCAGAAUUUGUGCAAUGACACAUACAAUGAAUGGUUUGUGGGACUUGUCUACAAAACCUCUAGCUCCAAAAUACAAGCCUCCACCUAUUAAGCACAGGAGUAGCUCCAUUAGAUGAUAAUAUGAGGAAAUUAUGUACUUUAUUCAGACACCUAUAGGAGAAGGGUGCAAUAAUAUCUGUCUAUUGAGAAAAAAAUAAUGAAAUACUCCAAAAUCCUUGGUGGAAAGAGCUCAUAGACCUUGAGUUCUUAAGGAGCAAAUGAUCUAUGAUCCACCAUUCUGACUUACUUUUUCCUCCAUUCAUCUUUAUGCCCUAGAGAGGUAUUUCUAUUAUGCAGCUCUAGUUAUCUAGAAGCUGGAUAUCUAGUCAGAGUUGAUUGUCUAAGGUCAUUUAAUAGUAGAUAUGCAGACAGCUCCAGAGGAAGAGUCACCCCUCCCACCUCAGGCCCCUCCUUUAGUCUCUCCAUAUUGAUCAGAGAAGCUGAGAUGACUAGUAAAGCAGCUGCUUUAAAAUGAUGAGUCCCCAGAUACUACCCUGUGUAUGCAACUAGACUCUGGAGUGGGUGCAACAGAGAGCCUGACCCCGUGCUGGGCCAGGGCUUGUUGCAGGCAGGGCAUCCUGCCAGAUCCUGCUCCCACUGCCAGACUUGCUCCAGAGCCACAAGCACCUGGCUCAGGAAGCACACGUUCUUAGUGGAGUUCUGAGUGGAGCAGGAGAUUAAUGGUCUGGGAAAGAUGGUGGUGGUGAUGAUGAUGAUGAUGAUGAUGAUGGCGUGAAGGAGAUACAAGAAAAGAGUGGUGGUCUCUUCUCUCUCCUCUCCCUCUCCCUCUCCCACUGACAUUGGCAAUCACAUUGACAGCCAGGUACUGUAAAUCCCAUCACACAGGUCUCACACUUGCAUUCUUGUACAAGCUCACUUGUUACUGUGAGUGGGCAUGUCAGAGAUGUGGCUGCCAAAGCAAAGCUGCUGGAGGGAGGAGAGGCAGUGCUACCUCAUCUGCAGACCAGAACACACUGCUCCCCAUGCUACAGAAAACAGCCUCUGUGAGGUACUUAUGGGAAGGACAGGAAGACAACCAGCAUUCAGAUGUCCUGAAUAUGCAGAUUUAUAUUUGGAGGCUGUUAGAAAUAAAAUAUUUUAAAGCAAUCACAUUAAUCAGGGACUUCUUAUGCAUUUGCUGCAAUGAAACCCAAAUGAAAAGAAUCACGAGUGCACACUGCAUGUAAAGGUUAAUCAAAGGCAGCUUCUUCUUUUGGCAGCUACAUUCUUCUCCUGGUCUUUGCCAAGAAGCAUUUACUCUGUUGUUUUUCUUUCUUUUUUUUUCAUUUUUUUCUUUUUUCCUUUCUUUUAAUUAUAUAUGUGCAAUUCCCACUCUCAGGUUUUCUAAAAGUUAUAUCAUACCCAUUUUACAUACAUGGAGAAGAAAAUGGUGAACCUGUAACAUUUCAAAUUCUACUUUGACAAAUGGGUUUCCAGUAGUUUUGAUUGAGACUUUUCUAUAUCUUUUGUAGAAAGGGCUGACGUAUCCUUUUCUGCAGACAUUGGAGGUAAUCCCCUUAAGAAAACCACCUGAGCUAGCAGAAAACCUCAGAGCAGCCCCUUUGUCAAGCAGCUGUGCAGGCAUGUUGAUAUAUUUGUUUUGGGGACAAUGCCUCUUAUACACUGACCAGCUGGGAAGUAUUUGGAAACAUUUUAUGGAUGGAUUCAGCAUUAAGUGAUGGGGUUGACUGCAGACUGCAGUACAAGAUCUGCAGUAGUAUCUAAGCCAGCUUUCAACAAGCCCAUGCCACUUUUGGAAGCCAUUUACCUGGUAACAUUCACCUUGGGGAAGCACCGAUGUCGCCUGUGCUCUCAAUCACCCAGGCAAAUCACCUCACAGAGCUUCAAUCACAGCUAAGCAAUCACAGGAGCCCCGAUGGCAGAAGUUGCAAGAGAAGCACUAAAUCAAAGCACCACCAUUCAGCUGUACAGUGUCCCUGCCUCUCUAUGUGCUGCUUCUGCUGGAGGUGGAAUGCAUCUGUCUGUGUGGGGCGAGACUUGUAGGGCUUCCCAGACCGUCCUGCUGCUCUGAGCCAGUGCUAGGACAAAUCCAACUGGGGAAGCUUGGUCCUUUGGUACAGAAGCAGGGCUGACUUAUGGCUGCACUCUCUGCCAUAAGCACCACACUUCCCAUAAAUCAUUAAUUUUUAACUUCUUUCAGUCUAUGCCAGGAGCUGUACAAUAACCCAUACUCAAUUUUAAAAAGAGACUGAGAUAAGCCAAGAUACUACCUUUCCUCUUUGAAGGAAUUUUGCUCUCUGAGGCCUAGUAGGUGCAGUUGGACUGUUUGCACAUUUCACCAUCUCUGUCCUUUCCUCCUAGCUCCUCACUGGACUUUUCUCAUCACAGAAACUCUCUAAUAAUUUUCCUCAUCAUGUUCUUGUGCCAUUUCUAAAAUUUACUCUCUGAACUUUAGUGUUGUUUAAAUUUCUCUUUCUCUCCUUUUUCCAUUACUAGAAAGGUAUAAAGGCUAAAUGAGGUGAAUGAGAGUUUAACCCUACAAUGUAGUUGCACUUUCCCAGUCAAGCCCUGGUUCUUAGACUCAAAAUUCUUACAUUAAAGUUUCUCCUUCAAACUUAGAAUAGAUACAGCUAACAUGCCAAAAAUUUUGAAGGCAAAUUUCUGAGCUCCUUUCAGCCUUCUAGGUAAAAAACUAAUUCUGGCUCUGCUCUCAAGAUACACCAAGUGUCAUGCUGUCUUCUUCAAAUCUUCACCUGAAAUGAGUUUCCGUCUUGAUUUCUUACCCACCUUUAGACUAUUUAUUUAAAAAAUUCUAGUUCAUCAAAUAAGUUUGCAUGGAAGGUAUAAAUGAGAUCAAAAGCCUACUUUGUCUGCUUUUAUUUGUCCAUGCAAAGCAGUAUAUGUUAUAAUCUCCAUGCUUUUUCCCCUUAGAUACAGUGCCUUUAAAGCACUUGAUACCAUUGCAGCAUGUUAUCUACACCUGCAGUAUAAAUAUCACUCACGCUGUCCCAAGCACUCAGGGACAUUCUGGUGACAUUAUGAUGGGUACAGCACAGCAGAAGGGAGGUGGGGUGUUCUGCACCUGGGCUUAGCCAUGGGACAUGGUGGUGGUUGUUGUGCCACACAGCCGUGCCUCUCCAACUAGCUGGGAUCCACCCAGAGUCACUCCAAGAAGGGAUAAAACACUGCUUCAGUUUCAGCAUGGAAAGUCCCCCUGCUGUGCAAAAAUCCAUAACUACCAAACCCCUGGCAGGGGCUAGCAAUUUUGCUGGAGGUCUUGCUCAUGACAGCUUGUCCAUCCAGGUCAGGAAAAGGUGGAUGGAUGGAUGGAUGGAUGGAUGGAUGGAUGGAUGGAUGGAUGGAUGGAUGGAUGGAUGGAUGGAUGGAUGGAUGGAGUAGCCCUGGGAAACCUGUAUGCCACAUGCUGCCAAAAACCCAUUCAGUGUAUGAUUUCCAUCUUCCAUGCAGUUUCAUAAAGAUUUUUCACAGCAUAUAAACCGGAGAAGGUCAGGAUUUCUUCUGGUUAAAUGAUAUUGUUAGUCCGUAGAGAAAUACACUUUUCUUGCAAACUGAACAGUUACUACAGAGGAAUGUUAGUAUAACUUUGAUCAGAAAGGGUCUGUCAGGUACAGACAGGUAAAUAUCACCUAAGAAUGGUUUUGUUUUAGUCGUGGAACAAAAUUCACAUUUCCUAAAACAAAACAAACAAAACAAGGUGAAAGAGAAUAAGAGAAAACUGAUAGAAGGGAAGGGCUAAGAUCUGAUAAAUGUUGGAGACCGUGACCUAUUACUUCUGAAAUUACUGUGCUGUGAAAAUAACAGUUUGUUCUGUUCUGCUUAGGAAUUUAGGUACACAAGACAAACAGCAUUUCUCUGUUCAAAUACAGCUUUUCAAUGGAGCAAAUACAUUGGUAAAGAUCACAAGCUGUGUUCUAACAUUUUUUUUAUUCCACCAAAUUCUCCUCAGUUUCUUUGGCCAUCUCUUAUUAUCUCCUUAGUAGACACUAGCUCACAACUUUUCUACAUAUGCUGUUUGUCUCACUGGUAUUGCAGGACAAAGUACAGCCAUCCAAGAUAUGUCUCCAGCGAUAAGAUGAUUCAAAACUGUUCAUAUGACUUAUGUGCUACCUAUCCCUACAGAUACAUUUUUUUGCUUCACAGCUGCCUUUCCAGAUUUUAUCUCAUUGCCACUUACCAUAGUAUUUGUUGUGUGGGCGUAUUGCUAGCGAACACAGCCUAGCUAGAUUUACUUUAAAAUGCUGUGAAUUCAAACUGCAGUAAGUUAUUAUGCCUUAUCAAAGUGCAAAUAUUAUGUUCCUACCCACAUGCCUCUUGUUAAGCUGCAGGUCUUUAGACUGGAGUCCCUUCCUCCUACCCAGUUAGUAUAAAAAUCUAAGCAAAGAGUUAGGGUUCCAUUUAUGUUUGGAAAGUUAAAUCAGUGAGUCCAAAAGGAAUUUAACCAAUAUUUUGAUUUUGUGUGCUGUGGUGUAUGGCUGUGGUGUAUAUCAAUAAAAGUUCUUUAUCCAAAAAACUCCUUCUUUCUCUCUCCUAUCCCUUCCUAAUCUCCACUCACCACAGCUCAAGCGCACAGUAAAGGUCCUAUUAGAGGAGUCAGAAACAGGAAUACAGUGUA